AGAGAAGCAAGAAGCUCCCUACGUUGCAUGUGGGUAAAAUCGAGGCAGAGAAGAGCAUGCACAGAGGACAGACAGCUUCUCCCGCAGUUGCCUGGGGAGGACUCCUAGAGGAGUGGUUUCCGAAUGUUUGGAGCAGUAAACUGCCAGUAGCCUUCAAAUUUUCUGUGGACCACAGACUUAUGCAUGGAUCAGAUUCUGCAACUGCAUUCAUGACUGGAACACUCUUAAGAGUCCCUUUGCCUCCAGGACCCACUGCAGUGAAGUAUCGCAGGUAAACUCCUAUGAAAAAAAGUUAAAUUGAUAAUCCACCCAUCGCUUCUAGAACGGAACAGGCUGAGAAUGGCAAAUAGAACUGAGUAUGAGUGUGGCAUAAGUGAAGGAAUGAUGAAACUUAAGCAAAUAUUUGAUGGAAGUCGUUAUAGUAUUUAAAUGACUCUAUUAGAAAAUGUGGUAGUACUCAUAUAAUUGAUUUUUUUAUACAUAUUUCUGGCUGAUAACUAAUCCCGCAGCACCUUAGACCCUGACACACAAAUGUUAAGCUUGUUUGUAGUCUUCUAAAUACCUCCCUUAUGAAAUAAAGAUACUCUUAUGCUUGAAGACUCCCCUCUU
This 609-nucleotide long non-coding RNA is filed under the name Struthio camelus australis. RNAcentral describes it as "lncRNA (ENSSCUG00000012399.1)". The record is from RNAcentral. Lineage: Eukaryota; Metazoa; Chordata; Aves; Struthioniformes; Struthionidae.